Molecule: small RNA, 543 nt
Filed under: Pan troglodytes (chimpanzee)
Lineage: Eukaryota; Metazoa; Chordata; Mammalia; Primates; Hominidae
Description: processed transcript
Source: RNAcentral
CACGCAGAGGGACGGCAGAUUGGCCUGGAGGAGGCAGUUGCAUGGAGAGCUUUGAAGAUGUACACAUCCUUUGGCUUGGAUUUUCUGCUUCUAGAAAUCCUGAGGGAAUCUGAAAAUCCUGAAGGAGUUAUCACAGAGGUUGCAGUGAGCCGAGAUCAUGCCGCUGCACUCCAGCCCUGGUGACAGACCGAGACUGUUCUUUGAUCCAGGAUCCAGAUGAAGCCCACAUGUUGAAAUUGGUUGAUGUGUCUCUAAGUCUCCCUUAAAUUUCUCCUCCACCAAUUUCUUUUCUGUUCCUGCAUUUUCUUCUCUGAUCACACGGGCUUUUCUUCCAUAAUAGGAAGAGACAUGGAGGUGCCCAAGCCGGCUCUGGAUAAAGGCCUGUCCUCCUCUCUCCCCACAGGACCGGGACUUUGUAGCCAAGCAGAAGGAGGACCUGGAGCUGGCCAUGAAGAGGCUCACCACCGACAACAGGCGGGAGAUCUGUGACAAGGAGCGGGAGUGCCUCAUGAAGAAGCAGGAGCUCCUUCGAGACCGGGAAGC